AUUGAACGCUGGCGGCAGGCCUAACACAUGCAAGUCGAACGGUAACAGGAAGCAGCUUGCUGCUUCGCUGACGAGUGGCGGACGGGUGAGUAAUGUCUGGGGAUCUGCCCGAUGGAGGGGGAUAACCACUGGAAACGGUGGCUAAUACCGCAUAACGUCGCAAGACCAAAGUGGGGGACCUUCGGGCCUCACACCAUCGGAUGAACCCAGAUGGGAUUAGCUAGUAGGUGGGGUAACGGCUCACCUAGGCGACGAUCCCUAGCUGGUCUGAGAGGAUGACCAGCCACACUGGAACUGAGACACGGUCCAGACUCCUACGGGAGGCAGCAGUGGGGAAUAUUGCACAAUGGGCGCAAGCCUGAUGCAGCCAUGCCGCGUGUAUGAAGAAGGCCUUCGGGUUGUAAAGUACUUUCAGCGGGGAGGAAGGGAUGGUGCUUAAUACGCGCCGUCAUUGACGUUACCCGCAGAAGAAGCACCGGCUAACUCCGUGCCAGCAGCCGCGGUAAUACGGAGGGUGCAAGCGUUAAUCGGAAUUACUGGGCGUAAAGCGCACGCAGGCGGUCUGUUAAGUCAGAUGUGAAAUCCCCGGGCUUAACCUGG
Molecule: ribosomal RNA, 600 nt
Filed under: Mixta calida
Lineage: Bacteria; Pseudomonadati; Pseudomonadota; Gammaproteobacteria; Enterobacterales; Erwiniaceae
Description: bacterial SSU rRNA
Rfam family: Bacterial small subunit ribosomal RNA
Source: RNAcentral